AUUGAACGCUGGCGGCAUGCCUUACACAUGCAAGUCGAACGGCAGCAUGGAAGAGCUUGCUCUUCUGAUGGCGAGUGGCGAACGGGUGAGUAAAGCAUCGGAACGUACCGUGUAGUGGGGGAUAACGUAGCGAAAGUUACGCUAAUACCGCAUACGCACUGAGGUGGAAAGCAGGGGAUCGCAAGACCUUGCGCUAUACGAGCGGCCGAUGUCAGAUUAGCUAGUUGGUAGGGUAAAGGCCUACCAAGGCGACGAUCUGUAGCGGGUCUGAGAGGAUGAUCCGCCACACUGGGACUGAGACACGGCCCAGACUCCUACGGGAGGCAGCAGUGGGGGAAUUUUGGACAAUGGGCGAAAGCCUGAUCCAGCCAUGCCGCGUGAGUGAAGAAGGCCUCGGUGUAAGNUCUUUGUCUAGGGAAGAAACAGACAGCUCUAACACAGU
This 442-nucleotide ribosomal RNA is filed under the name uncultured bacterium. RNAcentral describes it as "bacterial SSU rRNA". It matches the Rfam family "Bacterial small subunit ribosomal RNA", at positions 30 to 466 of the family's 1533-position model. The record is from RNAcentral.